AACGAACGCUGGCGGCACGCCUAACACAUGCAAGUCGAGCGCUACCUUCGGGUGGAGCGGCGGACGGGUUAGUAACGCGUGGGAACGUACCCAGAUCUGCGGAAUAGCCUUUGGAAACGAAGAGUAAUACCGCAUACGCCCUUCGGGGGAAAGAUUUAUCGGAUUUGGAUCGGCCCGCGUAAGAUUAGAUAGUUGGUGGGGUAAUGGCCUACCAAGUCUACGAUCUUUAGCUGGUUUGAGAGGAUGAUCAGCAACACUGGGACUGAGACACGGCCCAGACUCCUACGGGAGGCAGCAGUGGGGAAUCUUAGACAAUGGGCGCAAGCCUGAUCUAGCGAUGCCGCGUGAGUGAUGAAGGCCUUAGGGUCGUAAAGCUCUUUCGCCUGUGAUGAUAAUGACAGUAGCAGGUAAAGAAACCCCGGCUAACUCCGUGCCAGCAGCCGCGGUAAUACGGAGGGGGUUAGCGUUGUUCGGAAUUACUGGGCGUAAAGCGCACGUAGGCGGAUUAAUAAGUCAGAGGUGAAAUCCCAGGGCUCAACCCUGGAACUGCCUUUGAUACUGUUAGUCUUGAGUUCGAGAGAGGUAAGUGGAAUUCCGAGUGUAGAGGUGAAAUUCGUAGAUAUUCGGAGGAACACCAGUGGCGAAGGCGACUUACUGGCUCGAUACUGACGCUG
RNAcentral lists this ribosomal RNA (674 nucleotides) under bacterium IMCC4602. Its description in RNAcentral is "bacterial SSU rRNA". It matches the Rfam family "Bacterial small subunit ribosomal RNA", at positions 28 to 748 of the family's 1533-position model. The record is from RNAcentral.